AUACUUACUAGCCCGGGAGAUACCAUGAUCAUGAGGUGGUUCACCCAGGGCGAGGCUCAGCCAUUGCACACUUCGGUUGUGCUGACGUGCGAAUUCCCCAAGCCAGGAAUCUCGGCUGCAUAAUUUGUGGUAAUUGGGGGACUGCGUCACGCUCUCCCCUG
Molecule: small nuclear RNA, 161 nt
Organism: Hippoglossus stenolepis (Pacific halibut)
Lineage: Eukaryota; Metazoa; Chordata; Actinopteri; Pleuronectiformes; Pleuronectidae
Product: U1 spliceosomal RNA
Exons: 1
Source: RefSeq, a predicted model, not a curated record